RNAcentral lists this unclassified non-coding RNA (705 nucleotides) under Hevea brasiliensis (rubber tree). Lineage: Eukaryota; Viridiplantae; Streptophyta; Magnoliopsida; Malpighiales; Euphorbiaceae. The record is from RNAcentral.
UUCCAGAGAUUAUUUCAGAUCUGACCUUUAACAACUUGUUAGUAAUGAAAAAUAAGAAGUCCAUUGACACUCAUUGUGAGCGAGCAUAUACAGACAGAUCAUGGACAUUUUAGCGAGUCCAAUUUAGCUCAUGCAUUGUCCAAUUUCCUAAGAAGGUGCCAGGCCUAUUCACAUUCAAUGUACAACCACUAUAGCAGCAAUGGAUACAAUUAAAGUUUUCUCCAAACAUUCAAUAAGUACAAAAAGCAUGCCAAAAUAAGCCAUGUUGGGCACUAAAAUUUGUCACUAUCCAAAAUACAACACCCUGCCAAUAUCUCAGUUUCACACAGCACUAUACAUCUGCAACAAAGUACCCUGACAUUCUGAACACACAUCAUGGAGUUUGCACUUGUUAACAACUUCUGGCAAGAAUUAACUUGAUAUUGGGAAAUAAAAUUUUGAAAAUUGGUCAGCAAAUUCAAAAAUCAAUUAAUAACAGGAAUAUGAAAUAGUCAUAUAUGAGCUAUAUGAAGUUCUUAGAAGGAUAGCUUGAAAUAAUAAGUUUUCAAUGGAAUUCUUGAAGUAGGAAUCAAUGCUAAUACAUGUUAUACUGGAACUCGUUAAGUUUAAAGCAAUUCAAUGUCCUUAUGGUACAGCGAUGACUGAAGUACUUUAGUAUGGAUAAUCCCUCGUAAACCAUACCUUAAGAAUUCCAUUCUCUACUGU